This 63-nucleotide transfer RNA is filed under the name Loxocephala perpunctata. Its description in RNAcentral is "tRNA-Ile". Lineage: Eukaryota; Metazoa; Arthropoda; Insecta; Hemiptera; Eurybrachidae. The record is from RNAcentral. RNAcentral also lists the same sequence under 1 other name.
AGUAAGAUGCCUGAUUAAAGGAUUAUUUUGAUAUAAUAAAUAAUGUAAAAUUUACUCUUACUA